RNAcentral lists this ribosomal RNA (426 nucleotides) under uncultured bacterium. Its description in RNAcentral is "bacterial SSU rRNA". It matches the Rfam family "Bacterial small subunit ribosomal RNA", at positions 917 to 1344 of the family's 1533-position model. The record is from RNAcentral.
GGGCCCGCACAAGCGGUGGAGCAUGUGGUUUAAUUCGAUGCAACGCGAAGAACCUUACCUACACUUGACAUGCUGAGAAGUUACUAGAGAUAGUUUCGUGCCUUCGGGAACUCAGACACAGGUGCUGCAUGGCUGCCGUCAGCUCGUGUCGUGAGAUGUUGGGUUAAGUCCCGCAACGAGCGCAACCCACGUCUUUAGUUGCCAGCAUUUAGUUGGGCACUCUAGAGAGACUGCCGGUGAUAAACCGGAGGAAGGUGUGGAUGACGUCAAGUCAUCAUGCCCCUUACAUCCUGGGCUACACACGUACUACAAUGGCAUUUACAGAGGGAAGCGAGACAGUGAUGUGGAGCGGACCCCUUAAAGAAUGUCGUAGUCCGGAUUGGAGUCUGCAACUCGACUCCAUGAAGUCGGAAUCGCUAGUAAUCG